Molecule: ribosomal RNA, 2900 nt
Filed under: Klebsiella pneumoniae
Lineage: Bacteria; Pseudomonadati; Pseudomonadota; Gammaproteobacteria; Enterobacterales; Enterobacteriaceae
Description: bacterial LSU rRNA
Rfam family: Bacterial large subunit ribosomal RNA
Source: RNAcentral
UUAAGCGACUAAGCGUACACGGUGGAUGCCCUGGCAGUCAGAGGCGAUGAAGGACGUGCUAAUCUGCGAAAAGCGUCGGUAAGGUGAUAUGAACCGUUAUAACCGGCGAUGUCCGAAUGGGGAAACCCAGUGCAAUUCGUUGCACUAUCGUUAACUGAAUACAUAGGUUAACGAGGCGAACCGGGGGAACUGAAACAUCUAAGUACCCCGAGGAAAAGAAAUCAACCGAGAUUCCCCCAGUAGCGGCGAGCGAACGGGGAGCAGCCCAGAGUCUGAAUCAGCUUGUGUGUUAGUGGAACGGUCUGGAAAGUCCGACGGUACAGGGUGAUAGUCCCGUACACCAAAAUGCACAGGUUGUGAACUCGAAGAGUAGGGCGGGACACGUGGUAUCCUGUCUGAAUAUGGGGGGACCAUCCUCCAAGGCUAAAUACUCCUGACUGACCGAUAGUGAACCAGUACCGUGAGGGAAAGGCGAAAAGAACCCCGGCGAGGGGAGUGAAAAAGAACCUGAAACCGUGUACGUACAAGCAGUGGGAGCACCUUCGGGUGUGACUGCGUACCUUUUGUAUAAUGGGUCAGCGACUUAUAUUCUGUAGCAAGGUUAACCGUAUAGGGGAGCCGCAGGGAAACCGAGUCUUAACUGGGCGUUAAGUUGCAGGGUAUAGACCCGAAACCCGGUGAUCUAGCCAUGGGCAGGUUGAAGGUUGGGUAACACUAACUGGAGGACCGAACCGACUAAUGUUGAAAAAUUAGCGGAUGACUUGUGGCUGGGGGUGAAAGGCCAAUCAAACCGGGAGAUAGCUGGUUCUCCCCGAAAGCUAUUUAGGUAGCGCCUCGUGAAUUCAUCUUCGGGGGUAGAGCACUGUUUCGGCUAGGGGGUCAUCCCGACUUACCAACCCGAUGCAAACUACGAAUACCGAAGAAUGUUAUCACGGGAGACACACGGCGGGUGCUAACGUCCGUCGUGAAGAGGGAAACAACCCAGACCGCCAGCUAAGGUCCCAAAGUCAUGGUUAAGUGGGAAACGAUGUGGGAAGGCACAGACAGCCAGGAUGUUGGCUUAGAAGCAGCCAUCAUUUAAAGAAAGCGUAAUAGCUCACUGGUCGAGUCGGCCUGCGCGGAAGAUGUAACGGGGCUAAACCAUGCACCGAAGCUGCGGCAGCGACACUAUGUGUUGUUGGGUAGGGGAGCGUUCUGUAAGCCUGCGAAGGUGUGCUGUGAGGCAUGCUGGAGGUAUCAGAAGUGCGAAUGCUGACAUAAGUAACGAUAAAGCGGGUGAAAAGCCCGCUCGCCGGAAGACCAAGGGUUCCUGUCCAACGUUAAUCGGGGCAGGGUGAGUCGACCCCUAAGGCGAGGCCGAAAGGCGUAGUCGAUGGGAAACAGGUUAAUAUUCCUGUACUUGGUGUUACUGCGAAGGGGGGACGGAGAAGGCUAUGUUAGCCGGGCGACGGUUGUCCCGGUUUAAGCAUGUAGGCUGGUUGUCCAGGCAAAUCCGGAUAAUCAAGGCUGAGGUGUGAUGACGAGGCACUACGGUGCUGAAGUAACAAAUGCCCUGCUUCCAGGAAAAGCCUCUAAGCAUCAGGUAACAUNAAAUCGUACCCCAAACCGACACAGGUGGUCAGGUAGAGAAUACCAAGGCGCUUGAGAGAACUCGGGUGAAGGAACUAGGCAAAAUGGUGCCGUAACUUCGGGAGAAGGCACGCUGGUGUGUAGGUGAAGUCCCUGCGGAUGGAGCUGAGACCAGUCGAAGAUACCAGCUGGCUGCAACUGUUUAUUAAAAACACAGCACUGUGCAAACACGAAAGUGGACGUAUACGGUGUGACGCCUGCCCGGUGCCGGAAGGUUAAUUGAUGGGGUUAUCCGUAAGGAGAAGCUCUUGAUCGAAGCCCCGGUAAACGGCGGCCGUAACUAUAACGGUCCUAAGGUAGCGAAAUUCCUUGUCGGGUAAGUUCCGACCUGCACGAAUGGCGUAAUGAUGGCCAGGCUGUCUCCACCCGAGACUCAGUGAAAUUGAACUCGCUGUGAAGAUGCAGUGUACCCGCGGCAAGACGGAAAGACCCCGUGAACCUUUACUAUAGCUUGACACUGAACAUUGAGCCUUGAUGUGUAGGAUAGGUGGGAGGCUUUGAAGCGUGGACGCCAGUCUGCGUGGAGCCAACCUUGAAAUACCACCCUUUAAUGUUUGAUGUUCUAACGUUGGCCCCUGACCGGGGUUGCGGACAGUGUCUGGUGGGUAGUUUGACUGGGGCGGUCUCCUCCCAAAGCGUAACGGAGGAGCACGAAGGUUAGCUAAUCCUGGUCGGACAUCAGGAGGUUAGUGCAAUGGCAUAAGCUAGCUUGACUGCGAGCGUGACGGCGCGAGCAGGUGCGAAAGCAGGUCAUAGUGAUCCGGUGGUUCUGAAUGGAAGGGCCAUCGCUCAACGGAUAAAAGGUACUCCGGGGAUAACAGGCUGAUACCGCCCAAGAGUUCAUAUCGACGGCGGUGUUUGGCACCUCGAUGUCGGCUCAUCACAUCCUGGGGCUGAAGUAGGUCCCAAGGGUAUGGCUGUUCGCCAUUUAAAGUGGUACGCGAGCUGGGUUUAGAACGUCGUGAGACAGUUCGGUCCCUAUCUGCCGUGGGCGCUGGAGAAUUGAGGGGGGCUGCUCCUAGUACGAGAGGACCGGAGUGGACGCAUCACUGGUGUUCGGGUUGUCAUGCCAAUGGCACUGCCCGGUAGCUAAAUGCGGAAGAGAUAAGUGCUGAAAGCAUCUAAGCACGAAACUUGCCCCGAGAUGAGUUCUCCCUGAGACUUUAAGUCUCCUGAAGGAACGUUAAAGACGAUGACGUUGAUAGGCCGGGUGUGUAAGCGCAGCGAUGCGUUGAGCUAACCGGUACUAAUGAACCGUGAGGCUUAACCUU